RNAcentral lists this ribosomal RNA (253 nucleotides) under uncultured bacterium. Its description in RNAcentral is "partial 16S ribosomal RNA". It matches the Rfam family "Bacterial small subunit ribosomal RNA", at positions 524 to 776 of the family's 1533-position model. The record is from RNAcentral.
UACGUAGGCAGCGAGCGUUGUUCGGAGUUACUGGGCGUAAAGAGCUCGUAGGCGGUUUGUCGCGUCUGCUGUGAAAACCUAAGGCUCAACCUUGGGCUUGCAGUGGGUACGGGCAGACUAGAGUGCGGUAGGGGUGACUGGAAUUCCUGGUGUAGCGGUGGAAUGCGCAGAUAUCAGGAGGAACACCGAUGGCGAAGGCAGGUCACUGGGCCGCAACUGACGCUGAGGAGCGAAAGCAUGGGGAGCGAACAGG